GCUUGCUCUUUUGAAGUUAGUGGCGGACGGGUGAGUAACACGUGGGUAACCUGCCUCACAGCUGGGGAUAACAUCGAGAAAUCGAUGCUAAUACCGAAUGUGCUGAACAUCAUAAGAUGUUCAAGUGAAAGACGGUUUCUGCUGUCACUGUGAGAUGGACCCGCGCUGGAUUAGCUAGUUGGUAAGGUAAUGGCUUACCAAGGCGACGAUCCAUAGCCGACCUGAGAGGGUGAUCGGCCACAUUGGGACUGAGACACGGCCCAAACUCCUACGGGAGGCAGCAGUAGGGAAUCUUCGGCAAUGGACGAAAGUCUGACCGAGCAACGCCGCGUGAGCGAAGAAGGCCUUCGGGUCGUAAAGCUCUGUUGUUAGAAAAGAACAUGGGUGAGAGUAACUGUUCACCCCUUGACGGUAUCUAACCUGAAAGCCACGGCUAACUACGUGCCAGCAGCCGCGGUAAUACGUAGGUGGCAAGCGUUGUCCGGAAUUAUUGGGCGUAAAGCGCGCGCAGGCGGUCUCUUAAGUCUGAUGUGAAAGCCCCCGGC
This 545-nucleotide ribosomal RNA is filed under the name bacterium. RNAcentral describes it as "bacterial SSU rRNA". It matches the Rfam family "Bacterial small subunit ribosomal RNA", at positions 78 to 608 of the family's 1533-position model. The record is from RNAcentral.